Molecule: long non-coding RNA, 466 nt
Filed under: Scleropages formosus (Asian bonytongue)
Lineage: Eukaryota; Metazoa; Chordata; Actinopteri; Osteoglossiformes; Osteoglossidae
Description: lncRNA (ENSSFOG00015032477.1)
Source: RNAcentral
AUGCAACCCCGAGACGUGGCUUUUCAUUCCUUUGGCUGCUUCUCUGCCAUUCAUCGCAUACAGUGGAGGAGCAUGCAUGGUUACGCCACUUCACAGAAGUGUAGCAUUACCAAAGAGGUCUGCGUGUCGCUGCGUGCGCAGCUCUGCAGCAUCCUACUCGCAUCCUCUACGCCACUGCCCGGACCCCUGUCCACCCCCUAUGAAAGAAGCAGCCCUCUCAUCACUACUUUGCUUGCUUCUGGUCUGCUCUGUUGUUUAAUGCAACGUUUGGAAAGCUUGUACCCUUAAUAUAUUGUGAUGGCCUGAGAAUAUCUGAAACAUUUUAAAUUAAGCUAAGUUUUUGAUCUUAAACUGGAUUGUUGGCAUGCAUCCUUUACAAGCUCUUUCAGAAAAUUUUAAGCUAAAACACACUUUAUAAAAUCACUGGUUAAAUAAAGAAAAAAAACUUUUCUAAAAUACCUGACUU